This 76-nucleotide transfer RNA is filed under the name Hyphomicrobium sp. Its description in RNAcentral is "tRNA-Thr". It matches the Rfam family "tRNA". From Rfam's summary of the family: Transfer RNA (tRNA) molecules are approximately 80 nucleotides in length. Their secondary structure includes four short double-helical elements and three loops (D, anti-codon, and T loops). Further hydrogen bonds mediate the characteristic L-shaped molecular structure. tRNAs have two regions of fundamental functional importance: the anti-codon, which is responsible for specific mRNA codon recognition, and the 3' end, to which the tRNAs corresponding amino acid is attached (by aminoacyl-tRNA synthetases). tRNAs cope with the degeneracy of the genetic code in two manners: having more than one tRNA (with a specific anti-codon) for a particular amino acid; and 'wobble' base-pairing, i.e. permitting non-standard base-pairing at the 3rd anti-codon position. RNAcentral also lists the same sequence under 10 other names. The record is from RNAcentral. Lineage: Bacteria; Pseudomonadati; Pseudomonadota; Alphaproteobacteria; Hyphomicrobiales; Hyphomicrobiaceae.
GCCGCUUUAGCUCAGCCGGUAGAGCACGUCAUUCGUAAUGACGGGGUCGCGUGUUCGAGUCACGCAAGCGGCACCA